This 73-nucleotide transfer RNA is filed under the name Bacteriophage sp. Its description in RNAcentral is "tRNA-Met". It matches the Rfam family "tRNA". Rfam says of the family: Transfer RNA (tRNA) molecules are approximately 80 nucleotides in length. Their secondary structure includes four short double-helical elements and three loops (D, anti-codon, and T loops). RNAcentral also lists the same sequence under 1 other name. The record is from RNAcentral.
UGCGGGAUAGAGCAGUCCGGUAGCUCGUCUGAUUCAUAUUCAGAAGUCGUGGGUUCAAAUCCUACUCCCGCCA